CCUACGGGGGGCAGCAGUGAGGAAUAUUGGUCAAUGGCCGAGAGGCUGAACCAGCCAAGUCGCGUGAGGGAAGACGGCCCUACGUGUUGUAAACCUCUUUUGUCGGGGAGCAAAGCGAACCACGUGUGGUUCAUUGAGAGUACCCGAAGAAAAAGCAUCGGCUAACUCCGUGCCAGCAGCCGCGGUAAUACGGAGGAUGCGGGGGUUAUCCGGCUUUAUUGGGGUUAAAGGGUGCGCAGGCGGAGGUGCAAGUCAGCGGUAAAAUUUCGGGGCUCAACCCCGUCGUGCGGUUGAAACUGGCGUUCUUGAGUGAGCGAGAGGUAUGCGGAAUGCGUGGUGUAGCGGUGAAAUGCAUAGAUAUCACGAAGAACUCCGAUUGCGAAGGCAGCAUACCGGCGCUCAACUGACGCUCAUGCACGAAAGCGUGGGUAGCGAACAGGAUUAGAUACCCCAGUAGUC
RNAcentral lists this ribosomal RNA (459 nucleotides) under uncultured bacterium. RNAcentral's name for it is "partial 16S ribosomal RNA". It matches the Rfam family "Bacterial small subunit ribosomal RNA", at positions 338 to 795 of the family's 1533-position model. The record is from RNAcentral.